This is a long non-coding RNA of Pezoporus flaviventris, 425 nucleotides long. RefSeq lists it as uncharacterized. The record is from RefSeq and is a predicted model, not a curated record. NCBI's taxonomy places the organism in Eukaryota, Metazoa, Chordata, Aves, Psittaciformes, Psittacidae. The transcript has 3 exons.
GAACUCCCAGCAGCAGUAGCUGGAAGAGAACAAUUCAGUCAUGCAAAAUAAUAUUUAACUCAUUAAAGCGAUACAAGAGAAGGAAAAUUCUGGCAAAUAUCUGGUAUGUGACUCUUGUUUUAUCUCUAGGUUUAACAGAGUGUUCUCUUCAUUGGAAGGGGUGAUAAGGACUCACCAGUUAGUUAGCCUGGAUGAAUGUUUCCCUGCUUGCCACUAAUACUAGUUCCAGUACACAGACAGAACUGGCCAUUGUCCUAUCUCUUGCACAAGAUGUUUAUGCUGGCCUCAGCUCUGAGAUUGCUGAAUCCCAUAUAUGUGCCAGGUGCCACACGGUGGUGCUCCUGACUCCCCAUCACUCAGAGGCCUGAGAGGAAUUACAGUGUUUGUAUCAAAACUGGUUUGGGAGAGAAGGCUAGCACUCAGCU